AGCUGUAGCUCAGUGCUAAGAACAUCUGCUUUGCAUGCAGAAGGUCCCAGGUUCCAUCCCUGGGUAGGGCUG
This is a non-coding RNA of Podarcis lilfordi (Lilford's wall lizard), 72 nucleotides long. Lineage: Eukaryota; Metazoa; Chordata; Lepidosauria; Squamata; Lacertidae. The record is from the annotation of a GenBank genome assembly.